This 253-nucleotide ribosomal RNA is filed under the name uncultured bacterium. Its description in RNAcentral is "partial 16S ribosomal RNA". It matches the Rfam family "Bacterial small subunit ribosomal RNA", at positions 524 to 776 of the family's 1533-position model. The record is from RNAcentral.
UACGGAGGGUGCAAGCGUUAUCCGGAUUCACUGGGUUUAAAGGGUGCGUAGGUGGGUCUGUAAGUCAGUGGUGAAAUCUCCGAGCUUAACUUGGAAACUGCCAUUGAUACUAUAGGUCUUGAAUACUGUGGAGGUCAGCGGAAUAUGUCAUGUAGCGGUGAAAUGCUUAGAUAUGACAUAGAACACCAAUUGCGAAGGCAGCUGGCUACACAAAUAUUGACACUGAGGCACGAAAGUGUGGGGAUCAAACAGG